AUGGAGCCAAGUUCCUUUCCGAAUGGACUAAAUGUCAAAUCUCCAUUCCUAAAUGUUGAAUCCGAAGUGCAUCCAUCGAUCAUCGAAUGCCCAAUUGGAACAAUUCCAAUACUUCAUAACAAUAGAAGGGAGCAUAUAGCAGGACACAAUAUUGAUGCAUUGUUUACCAAGUUUAAGCAACAAGGGGUGGCAGGAACAAAAAAUUAUGAUAAUGUAUAUGGGGCAAGUGCUAUAAUAAAUGUUUAUGAGCCAAAGGUGAAGAAAGAUAGUAAGCAUCUCAGUGCAACGGGGAUUCAAAUUGAUAAUGGGCCAAAUGGACUUGAAGGUAUAAUUGUUGGUUAUUCGGUGGCUCCAAACUUGGUUGGUGAUAGCUUCGCGAGGUUUCACAUUGCUUGGGAUGCAGGCGCAUCGAACAAGUCCUGCUAUGAUCACACAUGUCCUGGUUUCGUGCAAGUUAACUGCAACUUUGGUCUUGGUGGAAGAUUGCAACAUGUUUCAGUCUAUAAUGGGAAACAAUAUGUACUUAAGAUCCUUAUUUUCAAGGACACGAAGACAAAGAAUUGGUGGGUAGCAUAUGGUGAAGCGAAUAUACCCAUCGGAUAUUGGCCAAGUUCAUUAUUCACUUACCUUAGGGAUAAAGGUAAUUACACAUUAUGGGGUGGGCAUGUUUCGGGCCCGACGGCUUCAUCUGAUUCUCCACAAAUGGGUAGUGGGCAUUUUGCCUCCGAAGGACAUGGCAAAGCAGCUUUCAUAAAGAGCAUCCAAAUAAUUGAUGAGAAUAACAAGCUUAUUACUCCAAAUGAGAACAGAGUCGUCACUGGAACUAGUGAUAUAACAAAAUAUACUGUUGAUGGUUAUGGCAUUGAUAAGGAGGGUAUGCAUAUGUACUAUGGUGGACCAGGUAAUUUCGUCUAA
Molecule: ribosomal RNA, 915 nt
Filed under: Triticum aestivum (bread wheat)
Lineage: Eukaryota; Viridiplantae; Streptophyta; Magnoliopsida; Poales; Poaceae
Description: partial small subunit ribosomal RNA
Source: RNAcentral